AUUGAACGCUGGCGGCAGGCCUAACACAUGCAAGUCGAGCGGAUGAAGGGAGCUUGCUCCUGGAUUCAGCGGCGGACGGGUGAGUAAUGCCUAGGAAUCUGCCUGGUAGUGGGGGAUAACGUCCGGAAACGGGCGCUAAUACCGCAUACGUCCUGAGGGAGAAAGUGGGGGAUCUUCGGACCUCACGCUAUCAGAUGAGCCUAGGUCGGAUUAGCUAGUUGGUGGGGUAAAGGCCUACCAAGGCGACGAUCCGUAACUGGUCUGAGAGGAUGAUCAGUCACGGUGAAACGAAGACGCGGCCAAGACGACGAGGGGGGGCAGAAGGGGGAAAUGUAGAAAAAGGGGAAAGGGCAUGAACGAGCCAAGCGGGGUGUGUGAAAAGGGUCUUGGGAUUGUAAAGCACUUUAAGGGGGGAGGAAGGGAAAAAAUUUAAAACCUUGUUGUUUGGACGUAACAAAAAAAAAAAGCACCGGAAAACUUCGGA
RNAcentral lists this ribosomal RNA (484 nucleotides) under uncultured bacterium. Its description in RNAcentral is "partial 16S ribosomal RNA". It matches the Rfam family "Bacterial small subunit ribosomal RNA", at positions 29 to 507 of the family's 1533-position model. The record is from RNAcentral.